Molecule: ribosomal RNA, 497 nt
Filed under: uncultured bacterium
Lineage: Bacteria
Description: partial 16S ribosomal RNA
Rfam family: Bacterial small subunit ribosomal RNA
Source: RNAcentral
GACGAACGCUGGCGGCGUGCCUAAUACAUGCAAGUAGAACGCUGAAGCGAGGCGUUUGCUCUUCUUGGGAGAGGCGCGAACGGGUGAGUAACGCGUAUGUAACCUGCCUGGUAGCGGGGGAAAACUAUUGGAAACGAUAGCUAAUACCGCAUAACAACAGUUGUUGCAUGACGGCUGGGUAAAAGAUGCCAUUGCAUCACUACCAGACGGACUUGCGUUGUAUUAGUUAGUUGGUGAGGUAACGGGUCACGAAGGCGAGGCUACGGAGCAGACCUGAGAGGGUGGGCAGCCGCACUGGGAGUGAGACACGGCACAGAGUGAUACGGGAAGCAGCAGUAGGGAAACGUGGGGAAGGGGGGGAACACUGAGCGAGAAAGGCCGCGGGAGUGAAGAAGGAUGUCGGGUCGGAGAGGUCGGUUGUAAGGGAAGAAAGGGUGUGAGAGUGGAAAGUUCACACUGUGACGGUAUCUUAUCAGGAAGGAACGGCUAACUACGUG